Molecule: long non-coding RNA, 1211 nt
Organism: Triticum dicoccoides
Lineage: Eukaryota; Viridiplantae; Streptophyta; Magnoliopsida; Poales; Poaceae
Exons: 6
Source: RefSeq, a predicted model, not a curated record
GCUGCUCCAACCUUGCACCGCCGACCUCACACCGGCCCAAGCAGGGGUGGCGCGCCUCAUCCUCAUCUUCCUCUCAGCGCGGAUAGAGAUGGCGGCGGCUGGAUCUGGCUAAGUGGCCAGUGAGGAUGACGACUUCACCCCCGCCCCCAGUCAAAGUCAACCGACCACUUCCAUCGGGCGUCGCCAUGUUCUUCCUCACGCGUCGCCGACCGGCGGCGAGAAAGAGGACAUCGUGAGGCUCGAGGAGGUUGCCAUCACCACCGGCGAAGAGGACGAGGACCUCCUACUUGAUAUGACAACUCAGCCGUGAACUUUAAAAGAGCAAACAAGGUUCUGGUAUUGGAGUCUGAGCUGAUGUCUCUGCUAAAUGGUUUGUUCGAUCGCAUGGGAUGUGCUAAUGGAGAUGGUGAGGAAGACAAGUAGAGAUGUGUGAUGUACUCUUGUCAUCUACAUGGAUAGAUUCUUCUGUCCUAAAUCACGUGGAAGGUUGCGAUCACUGUAUGGGCACCUACAUUGCUCCUUCUCCUUGACUAUAUGAGAUUUAUACCCGUUGCUCAAGUAUGUCAUGAGGUUAACAAAGGACUUGAGUAUACAUUAAAGUAUAAGCACCAUGAUUUAUUCAGAUGUUUGACACUUGACAGUAUCCGAGAUGCCGCAACAAGGUCUGGUGUAGUGUUUUACAAUGUUGUCAUUUCUUCACUUUGCAAAAAAUGGGAAACUGAUCGUGCCAUUGAUUUAUUUCGCCCACAUGGUGUUGAUUAUUUCAUAAUUCAUCAUUUUUAUUAACUUAUUCAUGUGAAGUGUAAUCUUGAAAGUUGCAUUUGCAGACUAUACCAUCUGAAAUGUCGUUUAUUAAUAACUGCUGGAGUGUAUAUCCUUCGUUAGAGUGAGUACGAAAAACUGAACCAAAAAGGGAAUGUAAUGUUGUCAGCGAGGAUGGGAUUCUUAUGCCUCAGGUUUCCCUUUGUAUCACUGAGACUUGAGAGUAGAUUGUAGGGUAAUACAUUCUACAUGCAUGUGUGUUGUAGUUGUAGCAAGUUAGACAAGGUACCCCCCUAAUGCCGAGAGUAUGGAGCUGACGAAGGCUAUCAACAACAAGCUUCAGGAGGAGAAUGGUCUAACCUAUAGCCCAGAUCAGGUGCUAGCGUCCAAUGGAGCUAAGCAGUGCAUUGCACAAGCUAUGCUUGCUCUUUUCUCACGUGCUGAUGUGG